Long non-coding RNA from Gasterosteus aculeatus aculeatus (three-spined stickleback), 894 nucleotides. The record is from Ensembl. NCBI's taxonomy places the organism in Eukaryota, Metazoa, Chordata, Actinopteri, Perciformes, Gasterosteidae.
GCAGCACAACACAGAACAGCCAAUCACCAGGCGGCACUACACAAACAAGCCAAACACCAACCAGCCAAUCACCAGGCAGCACUACACAAACCAGCCAAUCACCAGGCAGCACUACACAAACCAGCCAAUCACCAGGCAGCACAACACAAACCAGCGAAACACCAGGCGGCACAACACAAACCAGCCUAACACCAACCAGCCAAUCACCAGGCAGCACUACACAAACCAGCCAAUCACCAGGCAGUACAUCACCAACCAGCCAAUCACCAGGCAGCACAACACCAACCAGCCAAUUGCCAGGCAGCACUACACAAACCAGCCAAUCACCAGGCAGCACAACACAAACCAGCCAAUCACCAGGCAGCACAACACAGACCAGCCAAUCACCAACAGAGAAGGCAGCCGACAAAGAAGGCAGCCAAUUACAGACUGAGAUCCCACCACCUAGCCAAUCACAGAAGAAGAAGAUAGCGCCGAUCCACUCCCCAAUCAGCUCACCAGAAUCCAGCCAAUCACCAACCAACACAGUGUCAGCAAGCCACGUACCAGCAACAAACCCAAAACCUACCCAAUCAUCAUCUCGCCAGACACCAUUAAACCGAUCAACACUCACCUCAACAUCCAACCAAUCAGCAACCAGUUUAACACCAGCUAAUCAAUCCACAACCAACUUGGAAACAAACCACCACAACUCAUCUGGCUUCACAUCCCAAUCACUGUCAACGCCCUCCAACCAAUCACAGACCAGCUCAGUGCCGUCCAACCAAUCAUCCUUGGGUUCAGCGGUCAGCGGAGACGGACGUCUGGUUAACGGUUCACUGCUCGCCGGGCAGGCAAAGGAAGCCCCGAGGUCAUCGAUUCGUAGGACCCAAGAGACGUGUUGGUCCUCCUGCC